This is a long non-coding RNA of Megalops cyprinoides (Indo-Pacific tarpon), 2173 nucleotides long. RefSeq lists it as uncharacterized. The transcript has 7 exons. The record is from RefSeq and is a predicted model, not a curated record. Lineage: Eukaryota; Metazoa; Chordata; Actinopteri; Elopiformes; Megalopidae.
GUAGGGUUGGGGUUAGAAUUAGGGUUGGGGCCACCGCUGUCAGGGCCCCAGGUAGGGUUGGGGUCAGGGUUGGGGUUAGGGCCUUGAUUAGGGUCAGGGCCCAAAAUCAGGUUGGGGUCAGGGUUGGGGUUAGGGCCACAGGUGUGGCCAAGAUCUAAGUUAGGGUUAGGGUGUGGGCUGGGGUUGGGGUCAGGGCCUAGAUUGGGUUCAGAGUAGGGCUAGGAUGGGAAGGCCGCGCCUCCCCCGGGUGGCAUCAAGGGAAAAGGAAGCAAUACUAAUAUAAAUAUUUCAUUUAUAUGUGGGCUCCAGGACGAGAGGCAGCCAUGCAAGUGCUGUUGUCAAAAAUAAGUGCUUAAAAGACAUGCAUAAUAAAAUCCACAAAUUCACAUACACAUAUAUAAGAUCAAAAGAAAGGGAAAAAGAAAACUUUAUUCACAUGAUUAGUGAGCAAUUCAUCAAAAAGACCAUUAAAGGUAAAUCAAUUCAUUAUUGCCUCUCCCCUGGCCCCCCCAUAUAUAAAGUGCUAAUCCCCCCUCUAUCCCCCUUCACCACCAGGAGGAGCCCCACCUCCCCACCCUACCCCCUCCUUUCAUUAAGCCCCAAGGGUGCAAUUGUUCUUAACUUCAUUAUCCACACUCUUUCCCUCAUCCUCCUCUCCCCAUUGGACCACCCGGGAUUACUUUCCAAGCCUGACACCUUUAAACCAGAAACCGGAUGAAUUUGAAAAUGACUGUCCGAUACGAUGGGUCGCCCCGGCGGGACCUCCCCAGGGACCGUCCAUGCCUUCGGAUCUUUAUGGAUCUUGGAGUUCCCUAAUGGCUGCUCUCUGUACAGUAGAGAGAUUAUCUGUACGGGCUAUGGAACAGGCAUGGAUGUCCCUCCAGAGGUCCCGCCGGAUAUCCUGGUUGGGGAGAGGAAUAAAGGUUAGGCCUCUCUCCAACACUUCCACCUGUGCCUCGGAGAGCUGAAAGGUCCCCCUCCUCACCGUCCCCCACUCGGACCUCCCAGCAUGCCCCAGAAGUGGCAGGGUGGCCCCAUUGUCAGCUUUACGGCCCACCUGGCCCGGCCUACAGGGUGCUCGACUGAGCUGCAGGCGGCACGCACACGGAGGAAUUCUCAUCAGAGGUAAGUUUCAUUGUUUCUUUUUUCAGGGUUCCUGUUUCACCAUUAUGUGUUGCAGCUAUAGGGCAAGACUGCCUGGGGGUAGCAGGCCUACUAAUGGGGCCCUGUUGGCCCGCAACUACCUGGGCAUAGGUAGGUACAGUCAGAGACGGAGCAUCCAUAUCAGUCAUCUCAACUGGACUCAUAUGCAUCUGGGGACACAAGGUAGGUGAAGUAGUGCCAGGCGUCCUAGAAUGUGGUGUUGUAGUCUGGGGUGUAAGCAAUUCCAUCACUCUUUCACAGAUCAUUCUAUUAAACUUAUGUUUGUAGCGGGCCUUGGCCCAAACUAUUGCCAUAUUGAAGGCCUCCUGAUCAAAAGGGCCCAAUGACUGAGUGAUUGAGGCAAUCACUCCGUCGUAGUGCAUUUGUAAUAUUGUCAUGUUAGUGUCCAUCCAUCUCAAAGUGUUCUCCUUCACUUUGUUUUUAGUUUGCUCAGAAGGAGAGGAUGGCUUUAUGAAAUCUGUUAAUUUAUUCACUUGCCUCAUCAUACCUUUGGGAAAUGUUUUGGACUCCACUGCCUGAUUUACUAUUUGAAUGUGAUGGAUUGCUUGCAUGAGUUUGAAAUAUUCCUUUGUUGUUUGUUUGUUAAGCCUUGGAGGAACAGAAGGUGCAAGGGAGGGGAGAGAGGGAGGGGGAAGGUUCUCCUGUACAGCCUCAACAGUGUCUUCAUUCUGAAUAUUGGCCAAAGCCAUGUAUCUAUUCUUUAACAACAUUCCAAAUUUUAAUCUGAACAGUUACAGGCCUAAACACCACUGUGAUAAGAAACAGGUUUUCCCCUUUCAGGGCUCUCACCCUUCCUUUCUCCUUUCGGCUGGUGGGUACGAGAAGAAGGUUCUCUUGGCGUGCGGUCCCAGGAUGGCUUUGUGUUACUUCCGUCCGUGGCAUAAAGUUCAAGAGAGAAACCACAAGAUGGUUACCAGGGAGUGAGCAAUGCUCAGUUUAAAGUUCUCCUGCCCAGAACGGGAUCCACUGCCCCUGGGGGAAUCCAACAGGCCCCGGCCUUCAGGUCUCC